UACGGAGGGCGCGAGCGUUGUUCGGAAUCACUGGGCGUAAAGCGCGUGUAGGCGGCCGAGCAAGUCGGUUGUGAAAUCCCGAGGCUCAACCUCGGAACUGCAUUCGAAACUGCUCGGCUCGAGUCCCGGAGAGGAUGGCGGAAUUCCCGGUGUAGGGGUGGAAUCCGUAGAUAUCGGGAGGAACACCAGUGGCGAAGGCGGCCAUCUGGACGGUGACUGACGCUGAGACGCGAAAGCGUGGGGAGCAAACAGG
This 253-nucleotide ribosomal RNA is filed under the name uncultured bacterium. RNAcentral's name for it is "partial 16S ribosomal RNA". It matches the Rfam family "Bacterial small subunit ribosomal RNA", at positions 524 to 776 of the family's 1533-position model. The record is from RNAcentral.